Molecule: ribosomal RNA, 232 nt
Filed under: uncultured bacterium
Lineage: Bacteria
Description: partial 16S ribosomal RNA
Rfam family: Bacterial small subunit ribosomal RNA
Source: RNAcentral
CGGACGGGUGAGUAAUGUCUGGGAAACUGCCCGAUGGAGGGGGAUAACUACUGGAAACGGUAGCUAGUACCGCAUAACGUCGCAAGACCAAAGAGGGGGACCUUAGGGCCUCUUGCCAUCGGAUGUGCCCAGAUGGGAUUAGCUAGUAGGUGAGGUAACGGCUUACCUAGGCGACGAUCCCUAGCUGGUCUGAGAGGAUGAUCAGCCACACUGGGACUGAGACACGGCCCAG